GACGAACGCUGGCGGCGUGCUUAACAUAUGCAAGUCGAACGGAAAGGCCCUGCUUUUGUGGGGUGCUCGAGUGGCGAACGGGUGAGUAACACGUGAGUAACCUGCCCUUGACUUUGGGAUAACUUCAGGAAACUGGGGCUAAUACCGGAUAGGAGCUCCUGCUGCAUGGUGGGGGUUGGAAAGUUUCGGCGGUUGGGGAUGGACUCGCGGCUUAUCAGCUUGUUGGUGGGGUAGUGGCUUACCAAGGCUUUGACGGGUAGCCGGCCUGAGAGGGUGACCGGCCACAUUGGGACUGAGAUACGGCCCAGACGCCUACGGGAGGCAGCAGUGGGGAAUAUUGCACAAUGGGCGGAAGCCUGAUGCAGCAACGCCGCGUGCGGGAUGACGGCCUUCGGGUUGUAAACCGCUUUCGCCUGUGACGAAGCGUGAGUGACGGUAAUGGGUAAAGAAGCACCGGCUAACUACGUG
Molecule: ribosomal RNA, 468 nt
Filed under: uncultured bacterium
Lineage: Bacteria
Description: partial 16S ribosomal RNA
Rfam family: Bacterial small subunit ribosomal RNA
Source: RNAcentral